UCCAAACAACAUGCUUGUGUACGGUGGA
This 28-nucleotide non-coding RNA is filed under the name Rattus norvegicus (Norway rat). The record is from RNAcentral. Lineage: Eukaryota; Metazoa; Chordata; Mammalia; Rodentia; Muridae.